ACCUAAUCCCCAACACAACUUUAAGAGGCGCUUAACUCAUGAGGGCUUCAGCCGGAUGAACUGAUUAAUGUUGUUUUUGUGGGAGUGGGAUAAAAUAAUGAGUUUGGCCCCCUUCCCACAAGUUCUCUAAUUCUUACCUUCUUUUGCCCUUCCUCCUUUCACAAUGAAAUGAAGCAGCAAGAAGAUCCUCGCCAGAUACGUGGGCCUCUUGAACUUGGACUUCCCAGCCUGCAGAAUGGGCCCGUUACUGUCAGAUUCCGGCAGUUGACCCUGGUGAUUUCACAGCAGCAAGCACUGCAGGCGUUCCCAACACACAAGGCAAACUCUGUAUAUGGGCUCACCACCCACAGAUCCAGCUGUCUGUCAUGUCGUUCCCAUAUUGAAGGAACAUAACCUGUUAUUAAGCCAAUUCAGCCCUGGAAGAAGGAACAAGUUUCCAAAAUGCAAUCUUUGAGUUUGGAAAAUGGCAUUUGAGAGAAGACACUCCCAACUUCUUCUGCAUCUGGAUUUCCUGAGUCAGAAGGUAUCUUCCAGGGAUCUGAAGUGUAGAAAGAUGGAAAUCACAAGACUAUGGAGACUUGCAAACAUUCACCAGCAGUACCUUCA
RNAcentral lists this long non-coding RNA (606 nucleotides) under Homo sapiens (human). RNAcentral describes it as "HSALNT0323427". The record is from RNAcentral. Lineage: Eukaryota; Metazoa; Chordata; Mammalia; Primates; Hominidae.